UCAUGCCUACGGGAGGCAGCAGUGAGGAAUAUUGAUCAAUGGCCGAAGGGCUGAACCAGCCAAGCCGCGUGAAGGAAUAAGGCCCUACGGGUCGUAAACUUCUUUAGUCAGGGAACAAAGGGAGCCACGCGUGGCGCUGUGAGUGUACCUGAAGAAUAAGCAUCGGCUAACUCCGUGCCAGCAGCCGCGGUAAUACGGAGGAUGCGAGCGUUAUCCGGAUUUAUUGGGUUUAACGGGUACGUAGGCGGUUUGUCACGUCAGCGGUAAAAAUUCCGGGCUCAACCCGGUCCCGCCGUUGAAACUGG
RNAcentral lists this ribosomal RNA (305 nucleotides) under uncultured bacterium. RNAcentral's name for it is "bacterial SSU rRNA". It matches the Rfam family "Bacterial small subunit ribosomal RNA", at positions 333 to 636 of the family's 1533-position model. The record is from RNAcentral.